Molecule: ribosomal RNA, 502 nt
Filed under: uncultured bacterium
Lineage: Bacteria
Description: bacterial SSU rRNA
Rfam family: Bacterial small subunit ribosomal RNA
Source: RNAcentral
AACAAACGCUGGCGGCGUGUCUUAAGCAUGCAAGUUGAGCGGCAAGGAGGAGAGAUCCUCCCUAGAGCAGCGGACUGGUGAGUAACGCGUGGGUAAUCUAUCUUAGGCAUGGGGAUAGUCACUAGAAAUAGUGGGUAAUACCGAAUAAGUUCCAUAAGGGGAGGACUUAUGGAAGAAAGGUGCUACGGCACUGGCCUUAGGUGAGCUCGCGUCCCAUUAGCUAGUUGGUGAGGUAAAGGCCCACCAAGGCGAUGAUGGGUAGCCGGCCUGAGAGGGUGUACGGCCACACUGGGACUGAGAUACGGCCCAGACUCCUACGGGAGGCAGCAGCUAAGAAUAUUCCGCAAUGGACGGAAGUCUGACGGAGCGACGCCCGCGUGGAUGAAGAAGGCCGGAAAGGUUGUAAAGUUCUUUUGCUAGGGGAGAAUAAGUGUGGGAGGGAAUGCCUGCACGAUGACAAGGACUAGCGAAUAAGUCCCGGCCAACUACGUGCCAGCAGCCG